GAUGAACGCUGACAGAAUGCUUAACACAUGCAAGUCAACUUGAAUUUGGGUUUUUAACUUAGAUUUGGGUGGCGGACGGGUGAGUAACGCGUAAAGAACUUGCCUCACAGCUAGGGACAACAUUUAGAAAUGAAUGCUAAUACCUGAUAUUAUGAUUUUAAGGCAUCUUAGAAUUAUGAAAGCUGUAAGCACUGUGAGAGAGCUUUGCGUCCCAUUAACUAGUCGGAGAGGUAACAGCUCACCAAGGCGAUGAUGGGUAGCCGGCCUGAGAGGGUGAACGGCCACAAGGGGACUGAGACACGGCCCUUACUCCUACGGGAGGCAGCAGUGGGGAAUAUUGGACAAUGGACCGAAAGUCUGAUCCAGCAAUUCUGUGUGCACGAUGAAGUUUUUCGGAAUGUAAAGUGCUUUCAGUUGGGAAGAAAGAAAUGACGGUACCAACAGAAGAAGUGACGGCUAAAUACGUGCCAGCAGCCGCGGUAAUACGUAUGUCACGAGCGUUAUCCGGAUUUAUUGGGCGUAAAGCGCGUCUAGGUGGUUAUGUAAGUCUGAUGUGAAAAUGCAGGGCUCAACUCUGUAUUGCGUUGGAAACUGUAUAACUAGAGUACUGGAGAGGUAAGCGGAACUACAAGUGUAGAGGUGAAAUUCGUAGAUAUUUGUAGGACUGCCGAUGGGGAAGCCAGCUUACUGGACAGAUACUGACGCUAAAGCGCGAAAGCGUGGGUAGCAAACAGG
Molecule: ribosomal RNA, 735 nt
Filed under: uncultured Fusobacterium sp.
Lineage: Bacteria; Fusobacteriati; Fusobacteriota; Fusobacteriia; Fusobacteriales; Fusobacteriaceae
Description: bacterial SSU rRNA
Rfam family: Bacterial small subunit ribosomal RNA
Source: RNAcentral